RNAcentral lists this transfer RNA (55 nucleotides) under Uncinaria sanguinis. RNAcentral describes it as "tRNA-Val". The record is from RNAcentral. Lineage: Eukaryota; Metazoa; Nematoda; Chromadorea; Rhabditida; Ancylostomatidae.
AACUUUUAGUUUAAUUAAGAAUGUUUCAUUUACAAUGAAAUGGUUUAUAAGUUUU